RNAcentral lists this ribosomal RNA (440 nucleotides) under uncultured bacterium. RNAcentral describes it as "partial 16S ribosomal RNA". It matches the Rfam family "Bacterial small subunit ribosomal RNA", at positions 338 to 795 of the family's 1533-position model. The record is from RNAcentral.
CCUACGGGAGGCAGCAGUGGGGAAUAUUGCACAAUGGGGGAAACCCUGAUGCAGCGACGCCGCGUGUGUGAAGAAGUAUUUCGGUAUGUAAAGCUCUAUCAGCAGGGAAGAAAAUGACGGUACCUGAUUAAGAAGCCUCGGCUAACUAAGUGCCAGCAGCCGCGGUAAUACGUAGGGGGCAAGCGUUAUACGGAUUUACUGGGUGUAAAGGGGGCGUAGACGGCAGCACAAGUCUGGAGUGAAAUGCCGGGGCUUAACCCCGGAACUGCUUUGGAAACUGUGCAGCUAGAGUGCAGGAGAGGUAAGUGGAAUUCCUAGUGUAGCGGUGAAAUGCGUAGAUAUUAGGAGGAACACCAGUGGCGAAGGCGGCUUACUGGACUGUAACUGACGUUGAGGCUCGAAAGCGUGGGGAGCAAACAGGAUUAGAUACCCCAGUAGUC